Molecule: ribosomal RNA, 813 nt
Filed under: uncultured bacterium
Lineage: Bacteria
Description: bacterial SSU rRNA
Rfam family: Bacterial small subunit ribosomal RNA
Source: RNAcentral
GGACGAACGCUGGCGGCGUGCCUAACACAUGCAAGUCGAACGGAACUGUUUUGAAAGAUUUCUUCGGAAUGAAUUUGAUUUAGUUUAGUGGCGGACGGGUGAGUAACGCGUGAGUAACCUGCCUUCAAGAGGGGGAUAACAUUCUGAAAAGAAUGCUAAUACCGCAUGACAUAUCGGAACCACAUGGUUUUGAUAUCAAAGAUUUUAUCGCUUGAAGAUGGACUCGCGUCCGAUUAGUUAGUUGGUGAGGUAACGGCUCACCAAGACCGCGAUCGGUAGCCGGACUGAGAGGUUGAACGGCCACAUUGGGACUGAGACACGGCCCAGACUCCUACGGGAGGCAGCAGUGGGGGAUAUUGCGCAAUGGGGGCAACCCUGACGCAGCAACGCCGCGUGAAGGAUGAAGGUUUUCGGAUUGUAAACUUCUUUUAUUAAGGACGAAAAAUGACGGUACUUAAUGAAUAAGCUCCGGCUAACUACGUGCCAGCAGCCGCGGUAAUACGUAGGGAGCAAGCGUUGUCCGGAUUUACUGGGUGUAAAGGGUGCGUAGGCGGCUUUGCAAGUCAGAUGUGAAAUCUAUGGGCUCAACCCAUAAACUGCAUUUGAAACUGUAGAGCUUGAGUGAAGUAGAGGCAGGCGGAAUUCCCCGUGUAGCGGUGAAAUGCGUAGAGAUGGGGAGGAACACCAGUGGCGAAGGCGGCCUGCUGGGCUUUAACUGACGCUGAGGCACGAAAGCGUGGGUAGCAAACAGGAUUAGAUACCCUGGUAGUCCACGCUGUAAACGAUGAUUACUAGGUGUGGGGGGUCUGACCC